Molecule: ribosomal RNA, 165 nt
Filed under: Candida albicans
Lineage: Eukaryota; Fungi; Ascomycota; Pichiomycetes; Serinales; Debaryomycetaceae
Description: 5.8S ribosomal RNA
Rfam family: 5.8S ribosomal RNA
About the family: 5.8S ribosomal RNA (5.8S rRNA) is a component of the large subunit of the eukaryotic ribosome.
Source: RNAcentral
AAACUUUCAACAACGGAUCUCUAUGGUUCUCGCAUCGAUGAAGAACGCAGCGAAAUGCGAUACGUCAAUAUGAAAUUGCAGAUAUGUCGUGAAUCAUCGUAUCUUUGAACGCACAUUGCGCCCUAUUGGUAUAUCCGGAGGGCAUGCCUGUAUUGAGCGUGCGUU